This 465-nucleotide ribosomal RNA is filed under the name uncultured bacterium. RNAcentral describes it as "partial 16S ribosomal RNA". It matches the Rfam family "Bacterial small subunit ribosomal RNA", at positions 28 to 507 of the family's 1533-position model. The record is from RNAcentral.
GACGAACGCUGGCGGCGUGCUUAACACAUGCAAGUCGAACGGAAAGGCCCCUUUGGGGGUACUCGAGUGGCGAACGGGUGAGUAACACGUGAGUAACCUGCCCUUGACUUCGGGAUAACUACAGGAAACUGGGGCUAAUACCGAAUAGGAAUCCUUGCUGCAUGGUGGGGGUUGGAAAGCUUCGGCGGUUUUGGAUGGACUCGCGGGUUAUCAGCUUGUUGGUGGGGUAGUGGCUUACCAAGGCUUUGACGGGUAGCCGGCCUGAGAGGGCGACCGGCCAGCUUGGGACUGAGGGACGGCCCCGGUUCCUACGGGAGGCAGAAGGGGGGAAGCUUGCACAAGGGGCGGCAGGCUGAUGCAGCAACGCCGCGUGCGGGAUGCCGGCCUUCGGGUUGGAAAACGGUUUCAGCAGGGGCGAAGCUUGUGGUGACGGUACCUGCAGAAGAAGCACCGGCUAACUACGUG